This is a small nuclear RNA of Ochotona curzoniae (black-lipped pika), 107 nucleotides long. The record is from RefSeq and is a predicted model, not a curated record. Lineage: Eukaryota; Metazoa; Chordata; Mammalia; Lagomorpha; Ochotonidae.
GUAUUCAUUUUAGCAGCACAUGCACUAAAGUUGGAAUGCUAUGGAAAAGAGCAUCAUGGCUCCUGCGAAAGAAUGACAAACAAAUUUGUGAAACAUUCCAUAUUUUU